UUUCUCUUCACAAACUAAACCAAAGACGUGGAGGCCUCCAAAAACCCUAAGAGUUGCCGCCCAUGUUUUGUAGCUAUGGAAAGGGCAAAGAUGGGUGUGAACGGGGUAUAAACCGAUAGAUUUUCGAGGAGUAACGCAUCUCUAAUCUUGACAGAAGAUGAGAAAUUGCAUUGGUUCAUCCUUUCCACUAGUGGUUGACACCUAGGUAAGCUAAGGUUAUUUGUACAGUAUAAAUCCGUGUUAGAAAGCACGAAUGUAACGUAGAUGGAUGAGAGAUUUCAUGUUUAGGCCUUCGGGCACGGGAUUAGAUUGUCCAAAAUCGAUUAAAGUUCGGAUAAUGUAUGAGAAGGGGC
This 353-nucleotide long non-coding RNA is filed under the name Capsicum annuum. RNAcentral describes it as "long non-coding RNA (CANN_LNC015197)". The record is from RNAcentral. Lineage: Eukaryota; Viridiplantae; Streptophyta; Magnoliopsida; Solanales; Solanaceae.